Molecule: small nuclear RNA, 100 nt
Organism: Pongo abelii (Sumatran orangutan)
Lineage: Eukaryota; Metazoa; Chordata; Mammalia; Primates; Hominidae
Source: Ensembl
GUGCUUGUUUCAGCAGCACAUAGACUAAAACUGGAAUGAUACAAAGAUUAGCAUGGCCCCAACGCAAGGAUGACAAAUUCAUGAAGCAUUCUAUAAUUUU